RNAcentral lists this unclassified non-coding RNA (52 nucleotides) under Sorangium cellulosum So ce56. RNAcentral's name for it is "sce_snoPyro_CD_7". The record is from RNAcentral. Lineage: Bacteria; Pseudomonadati; Myxococcota; Polyangiales; Polyangiaceae.
GCAGCUUGGAGCUGAAACAAGCCGGGCGAGCGAUGAUGAAAUCGCUGGCCUC